CCACCACAUGCAAUCAGAUUACAAAAUCCCAAAGAAAUAAAAGUAAAUUAAAGAAAAUUCCACCACAGCUCGUCGGAGAGCAAAAAUCAACCCCCAUUUAUACGCUUCGCCGCCGUCUCCGCCGCAGCUGGUCAAGUAAGAUCACUCAAACAUUCUUUCUUGCACAAUUAUUCCACACAUAUCUUAGCAUUCACUCAAAACUCUUAAUAGAUAUGGGAGAAUUUGAUUGAAAGGGGACGAAAUAUACUGGGCAAGAAUUCAAGAAAUUGU
Molecule: long non-coding RNA, 270 nt
Filed under: Salvia miltiorrhiza (redroot sage)
Lineage: Eukaryota; Viridiplantae; Streptophyta; Magnoliopsida; Lamiales; Lamiaceae
Description: long non-coding RNA (SMIL_LNC001811)
Source: RNAcentral